AAAAAAAAUAGAAAAGAAAAGAGAAAAAAGAAAUUCUCCAAUGGCACUAUGAGCAUUCAUGCAAAGACCCUGCCGUGCCUUGGGAUGGGACUGACUACAGCUCUCGAAUAGUUACUGGCAAACAAGUCUUUAAUUCUUAUUUACCUGAAAGCAACGAGGCCCCUAUUGAACCCUCGACCAUCAGCCUUCAAAGACUAUUUUGCUCACCUCCCUAAAUACGGAGCUGACACGAAGGCAAAGGGGAAAUGAAAUUAACUCUGCUUUACACAUGGUUCAAGGCCCAAGACCAGGAAGCCACUCCCAGUCAACGAAGCCCUCGCACGUGUGUUCAAGCACAGACCUCCUUAGUGUCCAGGAUGUUUCGGGUCAGUCUCCCAGGGAUUCCUUUCACCUGCCUGAAGAACAUCCAUCCUUAAAGAACUAGUCAAUUAUGUAUUUUCUGUUACAUUUGGAAAAUGGAGACCGCUUAUUAGACAUCAGCCAAACAAAUAGAAGAAUGAUUUCAUCAACUGAAGUUCUAUCACAUAUCGCAAGCAAUACAAGCCAACUCUGGCAUAUUAAGAAAAGGAGAUUGGGGCCACAGGAAGUAUGGUACUGGACGUCCACGUGGCUGACUGUGGUUAGAGUUCUGGACCUGAAGGCCUGAAAAUCACAC
This is a long non-coding RNA of Tupaia belangeri chinensis (Chinese tree shrew), 655 nucleotides long. RefSeq lists it as uncharacterized. NCBI's taxonomy places the organism in Eukaryota, Metazoa, Chordata, Mammalia, Scandentia, Tupaiidae. The transcript has 3 exons. The record is from RefSeq and is a predicted model, not a curated record.